This is a long non-coding RNA of Prunus persica (peach), 589 nucleotides long. RefSeq lists it as uncharacterized. The transcript has 3 exons. The record is from RefSeq and is a predicted model, not a curated record. Lineage: Eukaryota; Viridiplantae; Streptophyta; Magnoliopsida; Rosales; Rosaceae.
CAAGAAGAGCAGACUGGUCCGUGGUGAUGUUGCUUUGUGCUGCACCUACUAUGCCUAUAGAACUGUACUGCAGGUGCACCACCAGCAAGAAGUGCCAAUCUAUAAAGGCAGAACAUUUUGCCAAAGAGUGGGGCACAUGAUUGCACCCUCUCGGGGAAGAAAUUCGCUACUAGCCAAAUGCAACGACUUAAGACGGUAGACCGUAGACUUGUAAUGAAGGAAGAAUGGACAAUUGGGCAUCUGUUUCCAAGCAUCUGUCUUCAUAAAUGUACAACAACGUGCUAACGGGACUUAAAUUCAUCGCAUCAGGUUAUGCUGGCAGACAAUACUUCCAUUCAUCUCAACAUCUACAAAUCCUUAUCAGGGAGGGCCUAAGCACAGGCGGGCAAGGCGGUUGCCUAGGGCCUCCAAUUUUUAUAAACCAUAUGUAUGUUGCUUCUUUUUUUUUUUUUUUUGAGAAAUUCUAUGAUUGCAUUCAUAAUUCAGCCAAAAAAGCCACUAGUCACAAAGGGCCAACACAAACUAGCCACAAAAGGGUCAUUACAAUAACGGAGCAAUCUAAUAUCAAAAUUAAGAAAAUCAGGUAUGU